GGCCAGAUAGCUCAGUGGUUAGAGUGUCUGGGUGCAAACAAGAAGGUUCUGGGUUCAAAUCCCUGCCUGGUCA
Non-coding RNA from Trametes elegans, 73 nucleotides. Lineage: Eukaryota; Fungi; Basidiomycota; Agaricomycetes; Polyporales; Polyporaceae. The record is from the annotation of a GenBank genome assembly.